UGGAAAGAUCAUUGUCGAGAACCGAUCGAGAGACUGCGAACCUGUAAACGGAUGACACCGUGUCGGGCGGGCAUUAUGCCCGUCCUACUCGGGACCUCGCAUCGUGUCCGCGGCUGCCUCCUGGCAUUUCGGACACGAUUUGUGGGGGACGAACGAAACCCCGGCGCGGUCUGCGCCAAGGAACAUAUGUCAGGACGGAUGUGCGUCAAAUCCUCUGUGGUGGGGCGACGUCCGCUCUAUAUCUAUACGACUCUCGGCAACGGAUAUCUCGGCUCUCGCAUCGAUGAAAAACGUAGCGAAAUGCGAUACUUGGUGUGAAUUGCAGAAUCCCGUGAACCAUCGAGUCUUUGAACGCAAGUUGCGCCCGAGGCCUUUCGGUUGAGGGCACGCCUGCCUGGGCGUCACGCCUUGUUUCGCUCUGUGCCCAUGCUCCUUCGGGGGCGGUCAUGGAUGCGGAUAUUGGCCCUCCGUGCCUCGUGUGCGGCGGGCUUAAGCGCGGGCUGUCGGUGUCUGGAUGGACACGACAAGAGGUGGACAGAGCACCAGCAGGAUGUCGUGGUCCCCCGUCGCCUAUAGGGGCUCACAAGAUCCGAACAAGUCUAGCGUUGUUCUGUAUAAGAAGGGGCGAGCUUGUCUCUCAUUGCGACCCCCCCGUUCAGGCGGGGACACCCCGCUGAGUUUUAGCUCAUAUAACCGGGGGAAGAGAAAA
Molecule: ribosomal RNA, 709 nt
Filed under: Lilium ledebourii
Lineage: Eukaryota; Viridiplantae; Streptophyta; Magnoliopsida; Liliales; Liliaceae
Description: eukaryotic LSU rRNA
Rfam family: 5.8S ribosomal RNA (bases 249-404)
Source: RNAcentral